RNAcentral lists this ribosomal RNA (470 nucleotides) under uncultured bacterium. RNAcentral describes it as "bacterial SSU rRNA". It matches the Rfam family "Bacterial small subunit ribosomal RNA", at positions 28 to 507 of the family's 1533-position model. The record is from RNAcentral.
GACGAACGCUGGCGGCGCGCCUAAUGCAUGCAAGUCGAACGAGAACUAGUUCAUUCGUAAGAAUGAGUUAGGGACAGUGGCGAACGGGUGCGUAACACGUGAGAAACCUGCCCUGGAGACCGGGAUAGCCCGGGAAACCCGGAUUAAUACCGGAUAUCCUCAUCAGAUCGCAUGUUCUGGUGAGAAAAUGGUCCGCUGCUCCAGGAUGGUCUCGCGGCCUAUCAGCUUGUUGGUGAGGUAACGGCUCACCAAGGCUCCGACGGGUAGCUGGUCUGAGAGGACGAUCAGCCACACUGGGACUGAGACACGGCCCAGACUCCUACGGGAGGCAGCAGCAGGGAAUAUUGCACAAUGGGCGCAAGCCUGAUGCAGCGACGCCGCGUGCGGGAUGAAGGCCUUCGGGUUGUAAACCGCUUUCAGGAGGGACGAAAAUGACGGUACCUCCAGAAGAAGGCCCGGCCAACUACGUG